Molecule: ribosomal RNA, 1663 nt
Filed under: Triticum aestivum (bread wheat)
Lineage: Eukaryota; Viridiplantae; Streptophyta; Magnoliopsida; Poales; Poaceae
Description: partial small subunit ribosomal RNA
Source: RNAcentral
CUCUGAUGGCCAGAGACGCACUACCAGUUUUCCUUGUGUAGUUGUGCUGGGUAGCGUUAGUGCGUCUGGCAGGUGGGGCGCAGCAGAGGCUAGCGGCGACGGCCUUGGGAUGUUGGCCGGGGCGGUACCGACUAGGCGGUAGGGAUCGGAGGGGGCGUAGCGUCGUCGGGCUGGUCGAGCGGCGGAGACUAAGGUAGGGCGGCUUGAGGUUGGGGGUUUAGGGGGGCGGGGGGUAGCAAAGGAGGCACGUCCAGUUGGGCCGCAGCCGACAAUGCCCUCCGUCUAGGUGCCUGGAGGGCGGCGUCGACGUCCGCGGAAGAGCGCGCGUCCGCCGACUUCCGCGGCCUCCUAAGCCACGCUAGGUGGCGAGCCCGGUCCGGGGGGAGCGGGGGCGGCAGCCGGUCGGAGGUGCCAUGCGCUGUCGGCCGUGCUGUAUACGGUGCGUCUACUGGAAGGGCCCGCCGCCCCCCGUCAACGCGGUCGUCGGCCCCGACGCGCGCCGGUACAAACCCGUCCCCGUCGGCUCCUACGAAGUUCCCGUCCCGUUGCGUCGGAGGCGCCGCGUCAUGCUCGAGGUCAAGGUCGGUUGCUACUAUCGCGUCGGUCCCGUCUCCCCGCACCAUGUUCCGCACGUUAAGUUGUGAGGGUGACGUGUUCGCGUCAGGUACCCACGAAGGGACUACUUGGUCUACUCCGGAUUACCUUAAUGAUGGGGUAUACCACGAGUUUGAGUCGUUGCAAGACGGAUAGUACGUGUUUACUCCGGUGUCGUCGUUGGACCUAGUAGUGUUUUACCAGGACACCACGUCUACAAUGGUUGCGUAGUCUACGUUAGCCGUUACCGGAGCGGACGAAGAGGUGUAGUUGCGGUCGUUCUUGUUUACUACGUUGACUAUGUUGUUGAAGUCGUCUCUCCUAACUUAGCGGUCGUCUAACGCGUCCGCGAUGUCGCUGAAGGGGUAGAAUUACGGGUUGUAGACUUGGUCGUCGUUGCCGUUGUUGUCGUUCGUAGAGGUUCCUACGGUCGUAGUAGGCGUCCCUUCGGGCGUUUGUACCGUCCUAGCGUCGGCCGCUGUGGAAGGAGUCCGCCUUGGCGCCGCCCACGUUUACGCGGCGUAGUUCCUCCCCCUUUAACGUCGGUUGAAGAACCCUUCUCUUUCUAUGUACUAAACCACCGCGUCCACCUAGGUGAGACGCUCCAACUAGGUCUCCACCUUCUAAACUAAGACCUCUAACGGCUGCUGAAGUAAUUGUGUCGCCGACUAAAACGCACGUCCGAACGUUUCGUGUCCUUUAGUAGCCAACACCUUCGGUUCCUACACGAUGACGUGGACGUCUUCUUAACAGUGGACAGGCGAGGACCAAAGGGUGUCCUCUCCUACACUUACUUAGACGUCUCUUUAAGUCACAUCGGAAACCAUCUUAACACCGUAAAUGAUGAAACUUUUCGCACUUAACAUAAACUCUAUCUAUCAAUAUGGUAAUAUCCAUUUAACGACUUUUUCUAUAUAGCUAUAUGGAGGGUAAUCAGUAUCAUGCACAAACACGCACCUACCUCGUGUACAUAUAUCAGGGUGCAUAUGGAGUUUUUUUACAUGUGUCAGGGUGCAUGGACUGCUGUAAGUGAUACAUGUUACGGUAGACUGUAAAAACAUGUGGUAUC